GCCCCCGUGGCGCAAUCGGUAGCGCGUGAGACUCUUAGUCUCUCCUUACCCCGAUUACGGGCCAUAAGUUGUUAAAUCUCAAGGUUGCGGGUUCGAGCCCCGCCGGAGGCU
Non-coding RNA from Cryptococcus sp. DSM 104549, 111 nucleotides. The record is from the annotation of a GenBank genome assembly. Lineage: Eukaryota; Fungi; Basidiomycota; Tremellomycetes; Tremellales; Cryptococcaceae.